This 497-nucleotide ribosomal RNA is filed under the name uncultured bacterium. RNAcentral's name for it is "partial 16S ribosomal RNA". It matches the Rfam family "Bacterial small subunit ribosomal RNA", at positions 28 to 507 of the family's 1533-position model. The record is from RNAcentral.
GAUGAACGCUGGCGGCGUGCCUAAUACAUGCAAGUCGAGCGAACAGAUGAGGAGCUUGCUCCUCUGACGUUAGCGGCGGACGGGUGAGUAACAUGUGGAUAACCUACCUAUAAGACUGGGAUAACUUCGGGAAACCGGAGCUAAUACCGGAUAAUAUAUUGAACCGCAUGGUUCAAUAGUGAAAGACGGUUUUGCUGUCACUUAUAGAUGGAUCCGCGCCGCAUUAGCUAGUUGGUAAGGUAACGGCUUACCAAGGCAACGAUGCGUAGCCGACCUGAGAGGGUGAUCGGCCACACUGGAACUGAGACACGGUCCAGACUCCUACGGGAGGCAGCAGUAGGGAAUCUUCCGCAAUGGGCGGAAGCCUGACGGAGCAACGCCGCGUGAGUGAUGAAGGUCUUCGGAUCGUAAAACUCUGUUAUUAGGGAAGAACAAAUGUGUAAGUAACUAUGCACGUCUUGACGGUACCUAAUCAGAAAGCCACGGCUAACUACGUG